GUCUCAGUUCGGAUUGUAGUCUGCAACUCGACUACAUGAAGCUGGAAUCGCUAGUAAUCGCGAAUCAGAAUGUCGCGGUGAAUACGUUCCCGGGUCUUGUACACACCGCCCGUCACACCAUGGGAGUCAGCAACGCCCGAAGCCGGUGACCCAACCGAAAGGAGGGAGCCGUCGAAGGUGGGGCCGAUAACUGGGGUGAAGUCGUAACAAGGUACC
RNAcentral lists this ribosomal RNA (216 nucleotides) under uncultured bacterium. Its description in RNAcentral is "partial 16S ribosomal RNA". It matches the Rfam family "Bacterial small subunit ribosomal RNA", at positions 1285 to 1500 of the family's 1533-position model. The record is from RNAcentral.